ACGGAGGAUACAAUUAAGAAUUUUUUAUAUUGGGGUUAAUUUAUGGGUUGAAGAGGUUACAUCCCCAAAAUUUUGGGUUAGUUGUAGGUCGUGUUUUACGUGAGAGAGGCCCUUUAAUUAUAGCUUAAGAGAAUAUAAUGGGAUCAUUUAAGUAUCAUGGCAUCAAUUUGAAGAUCUUCUAUUGAACUUGAUCUUAAUUUUCACUUUUCAAAAUUGGUUUUCUUAUCAAUAGAUUGCAUUCUAAAAUGGAUGGAACAGCUUACAUUAGAGCAUAAAGCAUUGAAAGCCUACAGUUUAAAGAAAUCAUAGAUAUAAAUUUUGCAUUUUUUUGGGGCCAUUUGUUUUUUUGGUGUGAUUUUUCGCAGGGUUGUGGCUUUCUGAUAUUUGGUAGAGCUACACUCUGAAGCUUUGUUAAGUAAUGUUGUUUUCCGUCUCUUCGCUUCCACAUUUAUUUCGGCCUUUUACAAUGAGAUAAGCUCAUUGUUUUCUGUCUCCUGUGAUGGCUUCGAAAUUUAUUUCCGCCUUUUACAAUGAAAUUUGAAGCUAUGUAGAUUUGGCAGGUUUGUGAACAUCUGGAUGGUCAAAAAACAUGCACAUCAAUGCCCUAUCACUAAAUCUUUUUAACUUCUUUUACUUCAUUUUAUGUAGCAUCAUCAAUGCCCUAUCACUAAAUCGAGGAUCAUCAAGGAAGUUUUCCACUUAACAUGGAUUGGCUAAAGAGAUGUUUGAAUUGUGGUUUAAUUGUGGUUUUGUUCAAAUUUGAAUGGUAUUGAGAAAACCUUCUAUUUUUUUAUUUUUGUUUUUUAUUUUUUGACUUUAGGGAUAUUGUUUUUCAUAUUUAAGUACUGCUGGGUAGAUUUGCUUAUUGGGCUUUCAAAAUUCAGUACUUUCAAGAUGAACUAUGCGGCAAAACUAUAUAUAAAUGUCAAUAAAUUAGGAAGAUACAAUCAAAUGGUUCAAAAGUAUAAAUAAAUUAUGGAAAUGCAAUCAAAUGAUUCACAAGUAGAUAUAAAUAUUAUUUA
RNAcentral lists this long non-coding RNA (1022 nucleotides) under Amborella trichopoda. Its description in RNAcentral is "long non-coding RNA (ATRI_LNC001450)". The record is from RNAcentral. Lineage: Eukaryota; Viridiplantae; Streptophyta; Magnoliopsida; Amborellales; Amborellaceae.